GCUUGCCCUAACAAUCAUCUUCCAAACACCUGUGCACAUUUUUGAGGGAGUCUUGAGUUGGUUGCCGCUCUUGGGUGAUUUUCUCACAUUCCCUUAAACCAUUAUACGCUAUUAACAAUGUUGAACGUGCUCUGUGCCGCAAGGCUAUUAAUAUAAUACAACUUUUAACAACGGAUCUCUUGGCUCUCGCAUCGAUGAAGAACGCAGCGAAAUGCGAUAAGUAAUGCGAAUUGCAGAAUUCACCGAAUCAUCCAAUCUUUGAACGCACCUUGCGCUCCCUGGUAUUCCGGGGAGCACGCCUGUUCGAGUGUCGCGAAAUUUCUCAAGCUUGGAUGGAUUUUUUGUCCGUC
RNAcentral lists this unclassified non-coding RNA (350 nucleotides) under uncultured Clavulina. RNAcentral describes it as "sequence contains ITS1, 5.8S rRNA gene and ITS2". The stretch from base 160 to 313 matches the Rfam family "5.8S ribosomal RNA". The record is from RNAcentral. Lineage: Eukaryota; Fungi; Basidiomycota; Agaricomycetes; Cantharellales; Hydnaceae.